This 1343-nucleotide ribosomal RNA is filed under the name Apilactobacillus kunkeei. RNAcentral's name for it is "bacterial SSU rRNA". It matches the Rfam family "Bacterial small subunit ribosomal RNA", at positions 93 to 1424 of the family's 1533-position model. Lineage: Bacteria; Bacillati; Bacillota; Bacilli; Lactobacillales; Lactobacillaceae. The record is from RNAcentral.
GAGUGGCGAACUGGUGAGUAACACGUGGGUAACCUGCCCCGAAGCGGGGGAUAACAUUUGGAAACAAGUGCUAAUACCGCAUAAUUAGUUGGAACCGCAUGGUUCCAACUUGAAAGAUGGCUCUGCUAUCACUUUGGGAUGGACCCGCGCCGUAUUAGUUAGUUGGUGAGAUAAAAGCCCACCAAGACGAUGAUACGUAGCCGACCUGAGAGGGUAAUCGGCCACAUUGGGACUGAGACACGGCCCAGACUCCUACGGGAGGCAGCAGUAGGGAAUCUUCCACAAUGGACGAAAGUCUGAUGGAGCAACGCCGCGUGAGUGAUGAAGGUUUUCGGAUCGUAAAACUCUGUUGUUAAAGAAGAACAAGUGUUAGAGUAACUGUUAACACUUUGACGGUAUUUAACCAGAAAGCCACGGCUAACUACGUGCCAGCAGCCGCGGUAAUACGUAGGUGGCAAGCGUUGUCCGGAUUUAUUGGGCGUAAAGCGAGCGCAGGCGGUUUUGUAAGUCUGCUGUGAAAGCCCUCAGCUCACUGAGGAAGUGCAGUGGAAACUACAAAACUUGAGUACAGAAGAGGAAAGUGGAACUCCAUGUGUAGCGGUGAAAUGCGUAGAUAUAUGGAAGAACACCAGUGGCGAAGGCGGCUUUCUGGUCUGUUACUGACGCUGAGGCUCGAAAGCAUGGGUAGCGAACAGGAUUAGAUACCCUGGUAGUCCAUGCCGUAAACGAUGAAUACUAGGUGUUGGAGGGUUUCCGCCCUUCAGUGCCGCAGCUAACGCAUUAAGUAUUCCGCCUGGGGAGUACGACCGCAAGGUUGAAACUCAAAGGAAUUGACGGGGGCCCGCACAAGUGGUGGAGCAUGUGGUUUAAUUCGAUGCUACGCGAAGAACCUUACCAGCUCUUGACAUCUUCUGCCAACCCAAGAGAUUGGGCGUUCCCUUCGGGGACAGAAUGACAGGUGGUGCAUGGUUGUCGUCAGCUCGUGUCGUGAGAUGUUGGGUUAAGUCCCGCAACGAGCGCAACCCUUAUUAUUAGUUGCCAGCAUUUAGUUGGGCACUCUAGUGAGACUGCCGGUGAUAAACCGGAGGAAGGUGGGGACGACGUCAAAUCAUCAUGCCCCUUAUGAGCUGGGCUACACACGUGCUACAAUGGAUGGUACAACGAGUCGCGAAACCGCGAGGUCAAGCUAAUCUCUUAAAGCCAUUCUCAGUUCGGAUUGCAGGCUGCAACUCGCCUGCAUGAAGUUGGAAUCACUAGUAAUCGUGGAUCAGCAUGCCACGGUGAAUACGUUCCCGGGCCUUGUACACACCGCCCGUCACACCAUGAGAGUUUGUAACACCCAA